CACUUAUCGAAACACACAUGGCACAAACUUUAUAUUUUUAUACGAAAGUUGGUCAAACGUUAGAAUUAACCAAAAACUUAUCGGUGUUAUGACGAAAAGAAACAAUGCUUACUGGCGGGAGGCACCUUCAUACCACAUCGGCGCCACGUUAGCCAGCAUAUAUUCAAUUAAAUAAAAUACAAAAUAAUUUUUUAAAACAAACCCUCUGUCUUUCUCUCGCCGUCUCUCUCCCUCACCUAGUCUGCUUCGAGUGUCUUCUUCAAUCGUCUCCUGCGGUGGAACCUUCCCAGACAAGGAAAGAGAACCGUCGGCGGGUGUCGAUCCCAUCCCUUUGUGAGGAAGAAGAAAACCCAUAGCAAGACUAAAAAUUCCUCUCUUUUCCUCUUUCUGCCGACUCUUUCCUCUCUCACUCUCUCGUCUCUCUAUCUCUGUCUCCACCAUUAACCUCAUCCUCUCAACCUUAGCUUGUUUUUUCCUUCUUCAUUUACCCAAACCUAGCUAACUACUUCUUCUGAAAUCUGACUACCCUUUUUUGCUACACUUGCAUCCUUCGUCAGUUUGCAAGUGUUAGUCGAUGCCUUGUCCGUCUUCCGUCCCUUUCUCGUUUCAUCUCGCCUAUUGAGAGUCAUCAUAGAUCUUAUUAGUCACCGUGAUUUUCAAAAUUCCCAUCUUUCCUAGCUUUUAUUCCACGAGUUGAGGGUUAGGGUUUGGUGAUUCUUGAUGCUAUCCUGUUGGAAUAAUGUGGUGAUUGAAAUGUAAAGAAUGGAAGUUUGAUGAUUGAUAUGUGAAAAUAUGAAAUUGGGUGAUUGUUUUGUAAAGUAAAAAAAAUUAUUGAGAGAAGCAGAGGAAGCAAGCUGCUUCUUGUCUUUGUUUUUGUUUUUGGAAUUGCUUGGAUUGAUUGAUACACAAUAGAUGUAAAGCUUUAUAUAGCCUUUACAAACUUAACAAGACAAAACACAUUUAUUUCAUCAUCUUAUCACAACUAAUUUUAUUUAAUUUUGGUGGCUUGAUAAUGGAGAUUUGUUGGUGGCUUGUUGGUGAAUUGUUGGUGGCUUAUUGUCUAUAAAGUGAGUGAAAGAUCCAUAUUUUAACAUAUCCAACUGGGUAGUUGGGAUUUUGUGGGUUUCUAGCUUCGUCUAUGAUGUCCUCUACUCUGCUCUGUUUUUGCCCAAAUUGAUCGGCAUAAUCGAGGGGUUUUGCUCUGUCUAUCCGUUUGAUGUCUCGUCUCUGAGAAAAUUAAAGGUGGGAUGUCUAGACAGCCGCACAGAGCUGGGAGGAAAGUUCAGUGGAAUGACAACAAUGGUCAUAAGCUCGUCGAGAAUCUAGAGUUUGAACCCAGGUAAAAAC
RNAcentral lists this long non-coding RNA (1347 nucleotides) under Linum usitatissimum (flax). RNAcentral's name for it is "long non-coding RNA (LUSI_LNC007562)". Lineage: Eukaryota; Viridiplantae; Streptophyta; Magnoliopsida; Malpighiales; Linaceae. The record is from RNAcentral.